GUUGCGCGAGAGGCGGAGUCCAGAGGGGAGCAACAGUUAUGAGGGCGGAACUUAGAAAUGAUGAAGGCGGAGCCAGGGUCUGUAGUAAUUGGGCUGAGGACCGGGUUUAGGAGCGCAAAAAGUGGAGUCCAGGAGUAGAGGAAAUAGAUUGAGGAAGGGGCUUGGAGCAUGAGAGGCAGAGUCCUAGUGUGGAGCAACAGGACAAGCGCGGAACUUAGGCAGGCAAGAGGCUGAGCCCAGGCCUGUGGCACCAAUCUGGGGGCAGACUGUGUUGCUGAUAUAGAACUGUUGGCUUUUCCCCAGCAUCAUGUCUGUCUGCAUACCACCAUGCUUCCUGCCAUGAUGAUAAUGGAUUAAACCUCUGAACUGUCCACUUUGAUUUCCAAAGACAGCAUUGCCUUUACUGAAGGCCAGCUACAUCAAAUGGCAUACCACAUGAUCAUGAUGAGUUGUCCUGUGAAGGAACCGAUCCAUCUGCAAUACAACCACUGUUUGGAAAAUUCAUCUUCUUAUUGAGCUUGGCUGUCUGCUACAUGCUCCCUGUGGAGUGGAACAUCCACAGACAUUUUAAAGGAACAGCUUUGUGUCCCACCAAAGCUCCUGGCACUACUGACUUUGGAUCUGUGGGCAGUAUUUGGAUCAAUAGCAGUAUUGUUGCCGAUUGAAAACUCAGGGAGACGCACACACAUGUACCCCAGGUUAGAUUCAGACUUCUGUGUUCCUGAGGAUUGCUUUAACUUGUGAUCUCCCUGGCCCUGCCUCCCCAGGGCUGGAUUUGUAGGAAUGCACAGCCAUGCCUGGUUCAUGUGUGCUGAGGACCAAUCCCAGGGCCCUCUGCUUGCUGGGUGCUGAGGACUGAAAACAUGGACUCACACAUCAUACAUGUGUAAGCUCUCCCAUCUACCACUGAGCUUCAGGUUUGUCAGCCAUCUCUCCACAUACACAUUAAGCAUUUGAAAAUAAACACUGCUGAUAUUGGAUGAUAGCAAGGUUCAGAAGACCUUCCAGAGGAUUUCGAGGAUCUUCUGUCCUCAAGGAAUCGAUUACAGAUUUCUACUUGCAGAAAAGGCAAGAAUGGCUGAUUAGGAAAAAAGAUACUCCCAAGGGAGGAGUUGGGCUGGAGGAAAGAGAUAGAUGGAAAACCACCCUGCCAUAAAGGACCUGGGCUCUUCUGGCUCACAGCCACCCAUCAUGGCUUCUCUUAAUGGGGCCCUGGGUGCAACUUGGUUCCUUACACUUAGUAGCAAGUUCUUGGCCAACUGAGCCAUUACCCCAACUCUGUGUUGUCUUUUCUAUACAUCCUCAAGCUGCUACAGACAAAAGAGAAUUGAGACAUUGUCUCUCCCUAAAUCUGGUCCAAAGUAUGAAGAUACUGUUUCCUU
This is a long non-coding RNA of Mus musculus (house mouse), 1382 nucleotides long. RefSeq annotates it as RIKEN cDNA 4930433N12 gene. The record is from RefSeq and is marked predicted. NCBI's taxonomy places the organism in Eukaryota, Metazoa, Chordata, Mammalia, Rodentia, Muridae. The transcript is spliced from 5 exons.